RNAcentral lists this ribosomal RNA (448 nucleotides) under uncultured bacterium. Its description in RNAcentral is "partial 16S ribosomal RNA". It matches the Rfam family "Bacterial small subunit ribosomal RNA", at positions 29 to 523 of the family's 1533-position model. The record is from RNAcentral.
AACGAACGCUGGCGGCAGGCCUAAAACAUGCAAGUCGAACGAACCUUCGGGUUAGUGGCGCACGGGUGCGUGACGCGUGGGAAGAUGCCCUUCACUGCGGAACAACGUCGGUAAACUGACGCUAAUACAGCAAAAUGAAUCCGGUCCAAAGAUUUAUCGGUGAAGGAUUAGCCCGCGUCUGAUUAGUUAGUUGGUGAGGUAAUGGCUCACCAAGUCGACGAUCAGUAGCGGGUGUGAGAGGAUGGUCAGCCACACGGGAGACGGAGACCCGUCCCAGACUCCUACGGGAGCAAGCAGUUAGGAAUAUUGAACAAUGGGGGAAACCCUGAUCCAGCCAUGCCGCGUGUGUGAAGAAGGCCUUAGGGUUGUAAAGCACUUUCGUCUGUGAAGAUAAUGACAGUAGCAGAAGAAGAAGCUCCGGCUAAAUUCGUGCCAGCAGCCGCCGUAA